Nyctereutes procyonoides (raccoon dog) is the source of this 498-nucleotide long non-coding RNA. RefSeq lists it as uncharacterized. Lineage: Eukaryota; Metazoa; Chordata; Mammalia; Carnivora; Canidae. The record is from RefSeq and is a predicted model, not a curated record. The transcript is spliced from 4 exons.
UUUUCUACAUUUUUAACAAUCUUCAAGAACUUAAUACAUUCCUCAAGGGGAACAAAAGGCUUAGACUAGAGGAGAUAGACCCAAGAGUGUUUUAAAGUACCAUAGGAGGGCUUCAGAAAACCUGGCAUCCUAUGUCUCCUACCUCUCCGCAUCUCUGGGAUGGCACAGUGAUGUUCCUGCCACCUCUGCUGGAUGAUGGCAUCUGCAGCCCACCGCUGUUCUGUCUAAGCGAGUGUGCCAGAAGGCUUGGAGGACCGCAGCUGCCCGUGCAGGGCAAAAGCAUCCUCUGGGUAGCUAAAGCUCGGACUUCUUUCUAAGCAAGGAAUGAGCUGCAAGCCAGGAGACAAGCCUGAGGCCAAGAAGUCACCAGGGAUGGCAGAAUGUUCUGAAGGACUGGAGGUGGCCAGGGCUGAGGGCAAGGCCUCGAAGGAAGCAACGGGCAAGUAAAAGAACCCGGAGCCUGUGAUACAGAUGAAGCAACUAUAAAGCAUCAGACCU